AACGAACGCUGGCGGCAUGCCUAACACAUGCAAGUCGAACGAGACCUUCGGGUCUAGUGGCGCACGGGUGCGUAACGCGUGGGAACCUGCCCUUAGGUUCGGAAUAACUCCCCGAAAGGGGUGCUAAUACCGGAUAAUGUCUUCGGACCAAAGAGUUAUCGCCUUUGGAUGGGCCCGCGUUGGAUUAGCUAGUUGGUAGGGUAAAAGCCUACCAAGGCGACGAUCCAUAGCUGGUCUGAGAGGAUGAUCAGCCACACUGGGACUGAGACACGGCCCAGACUCCUACGGGAGGCAGCAGUGGGGAAUAUUAGACAAUGGGCGAAAGCCUGAUCCAGCAAUGCCGCGUGAGUGAUGAAGGCCUUAGGGUUGUAAAGCUCUUUUACCCGGGAUGAUAAUGACAGUACCGGGAGAAUAAGCUCCGGCUAACUCCGUG
Molecule: ribosomal RNA, 433 nt
Filed under: uncultured bacterium
Lineage: Bacteria
Description: partial 16S ribosomal RNA
Rfam family: Bacterial small subunit ribosomal RNA
Source: RNAcentral